GUAGGAGUGAGCCUGCUCGCGAUGGCGUCGCAUCAGUCAGUAAUGAGUUGACUGACACACCGCUAUCGCGAGCAGGCUCACUCCUAC
RNAcentral lists this unclassified non-coding RNA (87 nucleotides) under Pseudomonas helmanticensis. Lineage: Bacteria; Pseudomonadati; Pseudomonadota; Gammaproteobacteria; Pseudomonadales; Pseudomonadaceae. The record is from RNAcentral.